This 2826-nucleotide ribosomal RNA is filed under the name Serratia marcescens. RNAcentral's name for it is "bacterial LSU rRNA". It matches the Rfam family "Bacterial large subunit ribosomal RNA". The record is from RNAcentral. Lineage: Bacteria; Pseudomonadati; Pseudomonadota; Gammaproteobacteria; Enterobacterales; Yersiniaceae.
AGCGUACACGGUGGAUGCCUAGGCAGUCAGAGGCGAUGAAGGGCGUGCUAAUCUGCGAAAAGCGUCGGUAAGGUGAUAUGAACCGUUACAACCGGCGAUACCCGAAUGGGGAAACCCAGUGUGUUUCGACACACUAUCAUGUCAUGAAUACAUAGUGGCAUGAGGCGAACCGGGGGAACUGAAACAUCUAAGUACCCCGAGGAAAAGAAAUCAACCGAGAUUCCCCCAGUAGCGGCGAGCGAACGGGGAGGAGCCCAGAACCUGAAUCGGCUUGUGUGUUAGUGGAAGCGUCUGGAAAGUCGCGCAGCAAAGGGUGAUAGCCCCGUACACUAAAAUGCACAGGUCGUGAGUUCGAUGAGUAGGGCGGGACACGUGACAUCCUGUCUGAAUAUGGGGGGACCAUCCUCCAAGGCUAAAUACUCCUGACUGACCGAUAGUGAACCAGUACCGUGAGGGAAAGGCGAAAAGAACCCCGGCGAGGGGAGUGAAAUAGAACCUGAAACCGUGUACGUACAAGCAGUGGGAGCACCUUCGUGGUGUGACUGCGUACCUUUUGUAUAAUGGGUCAGCGACUUAUAUUUUGUAGCAAGGUUAACCGUAUAGGGGAGCCGUAGGGAAACCGAGUCUUAACUGGGCGAAUAGUUGCAAGGUAUAGACCCGAAACCCGGUGAUCUAGCCAUGGGCAGGUUGAAGGUUGGGUAACACUAACUGGAGGACCGAACCGACUAAUGUUGAAAAAUUAGCGGAUGACUUGUGGCUGGGGGUGAAAGGCCAAUCAAACCGGGAGAUAGCUGGUUCUCCCCGAAAGCUAUUUAGGUAGCGCCUCGUGAACUCAUCUUCGGGGGUAGAGCACUGUUUCGGCUAGGGGGCCAUCCCGGCUUACCAAACCGAUGCAAACUCCGAAUACCGAAGAAUGUUAUCACGGGAGACACACGGCGGGUGCUAACGUCCGUCGUGAAGAGGGAAACAACCCAGACCGCCAGCUAAGGUCCCAAAGUCAUGGUUAAGUGGGAAACGAUGUGGGAAGGCAUAGACAGCCAGGAUGUUGGCUUAGAAGCAGCCAUCAUUUAAAGAAAGCGUAAUAGCUCACUGGUCGAGUCGGCCUGCGCGGAAGAUGUAACGGGGCUAAACCAUGCACCGAAGCUGCGGCAGCGACGCUUAGGCGUUGUUGGGUAGGGGAGCGUUCUGUAAGCCGUUGAAGGUGGCCUGUGAGGGUUGCUGGAGGUAUCAGAAGUGCGAAUGCUGACAUAAGUAACGAUAAAGCGGGUGAAAAGCCCGCUCGCCGGAAGACCAAGGGUUCCUGUCCAACGUUAAUCGGGGCAGGGUGAGUCGACCCCUAAGGCGAGGCUGAAAAGCGUAGUCGAUGGGAAACAGGUUAAUAUUCCUGUACUUGGUGUUACUGCGAAGGGGGGACGGAGAAGGCUAGGCUAGCCGGGCGACGGUUGUCCCGGUUUAAGCGUGUAGGGGGUGUGACCUGGUAAAUCCGGUUACAUACUAACCCUGAGGCGUGAUGACGAUGCACUACGGUGCAGAAGUAGUUGAUGCCCUGCUUCCAGGAAAAGCCUCUAAGCUCUAGGUAACAUUAAAUCGUACCCCAAACCGACACAGGUGGUCAGGUAGAGAAUACCAAGGCGCUUGAGAGAACUCGGGUGAAGGAACUAGGCAAAAUGGUGCCGUAACUUCGGGAGAAGGCACGCUGGCAUGUAGGUGAAGUCCCUUGCGGAUGGAGCUGAAGCCAGUCGAAGAUACCAGCUGGCUGCAACUGUUUAAUAAAAACACAGCACUGUGCAAACACGAAAGUGGACGUAUACGGUGUGACGCCUGCCCGGUGCUGGAAGGUUAAUUGAUGGGGUCAGCCGCAAGGCGAAGCUCUUGAUCGAAGCCCCAGUAAACGGCGGCCGUAACUAUAACGGUCCUAAGGUAGCGAAAUUCCUUGUCGGGUAAGUUCCGACCUGCACGAAUGGCGUAAUGAUGGCCAGGCUGUCUCCACCCGAGACUCAGUGAAAUUGAACUCGCUGUGAAGAUGCAGUGUACCCGCGGCAAGACGGAAAGACCCCGUGAACCUUUACUAUAGCUUGACACUGAACAUUGAGCCUUGAUGUGUAGGAUAGGUGGGAGGCUUUGAAGCGUGGACGCCAGUCUGCGUGGAGCCAUCCUUGAAAUACCACCCUUUAAUGUUUGAUGUUCUAACUCGGCCCCGUGAUCCGGGGUGAGGACAGUGUCUGGUGGGUAGUUUGACUGGGGCGGUCUCCUCCCAAAGAGUAACGGAGGAGCACGAAGGUUAGCUAAUCACGGUCGGACAUCGUGAGGUUAGUGCAAAGGCAUAAGCUAGCUUGACUGCGAGAGUGACGGCUCGAGCAGGUACGAAAGUAGGUCUUAGUGAUCCGGUGGUUCUGAAUGGAAGGGCCAUCGCUCAACGGAUAAAAGGUACUCCGGGGAUAACAGGCUGAUACCGCCCAAGAGUUCAUAUCGACGGCGGUGUUUGGCACCUCGAUGUCGGCUCAUCACAUCCUGGGGCUGAAGUAGGUCCCAAGGGUAUGGCUGUUCGCCAUUUAAAGUGGUACGCGAGCUGGGUUUAGAACGUCGUGAGACAGUUCGGUCCCUAUCUGCCGUGGGCGUUGGAAGAUUGAGAGGGGUUGCUCCUAGUACGAGAGGACCGGAGUGAACGCACCACUGGUGUUCGGGUUGUCAUGCCAAUGGCAUUGCCCGGUAGCUAAGUGCGGAAAAGAUAAGCGCUGAAAGCAUCUAAGCGCGAAACUUGCCUCAAGAUGAGUCUUCCCUGGGCCUUUAAGGCCCCUGAAGGAACGUUUAAGACUAAGACGUUGA